CCCCGGGGCAGCCCCCAUGCACGCCUGCGCCCGGCGCCACAGGAGCUACUGUGUAUAGGCAAAAGAAGUUUCCUCCAGAGACAGGAAUACCAACCUCUGCUGAAGAUUUGCAGGCCCUCUUCUA
Molecule: long non-coding RNA, 124 nt
Filed under: Taeniopygia guttata (zebra finch)
Lineage: Eukaryota; Metazoa; Chordata; Aves; Passeriformes; Estrildidae
Description: lncRNA (ENSTGUG00000029702.1)
Source: RNAcentral